This 250-nucleotide ribosomal RNA is filed under the name uncultured prokaryote. RNAcentral's name for it is "partial 16S ribosomal RNA". It matches the Rfam family "Bacterial small subunit ribosomal RNA", at positions 524 to 773 of the family's 1533-position model. The record is from RNAcentral.
UACGUAGGGAGCAAGCGUUGUCCGGAUUUACUGGGUGUAAAGGGUGCGUAGGCGGGCUUGCAAGUCAGCUGUGAAAUCUGUGGGCUCAACCCAUAAAUUGCAGUUGAAACUGUAGGUCUUGAGUGAAGUAGAGGCAGGCGGAAUUCCCAGUGUAGCGGUGAAAUGCGUAGAGAUUGGGAGGAACACCAGUGGCGAAGGCGGCCUGCUGGGCUUUAACUGACGCUGAGGCACGAAAGCAUGGGUAGCAAAC